This 124-nucleotide small RNA is filed under the name Salmonella enterica subsp. enterica serovar Indiana. Its description in RNAcentral is "partial RtT sRNA". It matches the Rfam family "RtT RNA", at positions 40 to 130 of the family's 130-position model. Rfam says of the family: This family represents a bacterial cis-regulatory element known as RtT RNA. The exact function of RtT is unknown although it is thought that it may be involved in changing the cellular response in relation to amino acid starvation. The record is from RNAcentral. Lineage: Bacteria; Pseudomonadati; Pseudomonadota; Gammaproteobacteria; Enterobacterales; Enterobacteriaceae.
GGUUCGAAUCCUGCACGACCCACCAAUCGUUCGGUGGAAACGAGAAUAAAACGUGAAGGAUAACGUUGCGUCAGCAACGACCCGUAGGGCGAGGCGAAGCCGAGUCAUCCUGAACAACCCACCA